GACGAACGCUGGCGGCGUGCUUAACACAUGCAAGUCGAACGGAAAGGCCCUGCUUUUGUGGGGUGCUCGAGUGGCGAACGGGUGAGUAACACGUGAGUAACCUGCCCUUGACUUUGGGAUAACUUCAGGAAACUGGGGCUAAUACCGGAGAGGAGCUCCUGCUGCAUGGUGGGGGUUGGAAAGUUUCGGCGGUUGGGGAUGGACUGGCGGCUUAUCAGCUUGUGGGUGGGGUAGUGGCUUACCAAGGCUUUGGCGGGUAGCCGGCCUGAGAGGGGGACCGGCCACAUUGGGACUGAGAGACGGCCCAGACUCCUACGGGAGGCAGCAGUGGGGAAUAUUGCACAAUGGGCGGAAGCCUGAUGCAGCAACGCCGCGUGCGGGAUGACGGCCUUCGGGUUGUAAACCGCUUUCGCCUGUGACGAAGCGGGAGUGACGGUAAUGGGUAAAGAAGCACCGGCUAACUACGUG
This 468-nucleotide ribosomal RNA is filed under the name uncultured bacterium. RNAcentral describes it as "partial 16S ribosomal RNA". It matches the Rfam family "Bacterial small subunit ribosomal RNA", at positions 28 to 507 of the family's 1533-position model. The record is from RNAcentral.